AUGAACGCUGGCGGCGUGCCUAAUCCAUGCAAGUCGCGCGAACGGACGAGAAGCUUGCUUCUCUGAUGUUAGCGGCGGACGGGUGAGUAACACGUGGAUAACCUACCUAUAAGACUGGGAUAACUUCGGGAAACCGGAGCUAAUACCGGAUAAUAUUUUGAACCGCAUGGUUCAAAAGUGAAAGACGGUCUUGCUGUCACUUAUAGAUGGACCCGCGCUGCAUUAGCUAGUUGGUAAGGUAACGGCUUACCAAGGCAACGAUGCAUAGCCGACCUGAGAGGGUGAUCGGCCACACUGGAACUGAGACACGGUCCAGACUCCUACGGGAGGCAGCAGUAGGGAAUCUUCCGCAAUGGGCGAAAGCCUGACGGAGCAACGCCGCGUGAGUGAUGAAGGUCUUCGGAUCGUAAAACUCUGUUAUUAGGGAAGAACAUAUGUGUAAGUAACUGUGCACAUCUUGACGGUACCUAAUCAGAAAGCCACGGCUAACUACGUG
RNAcentral lists this ribosomal RNA (496 nucleotides) under uncultured bacterium. RNAcentral's name for it is "partial 16S ribosomal RNA". It matches the Rfam family "Bacterial small subunit ribosomal RNA", at positions 29 to 507 of the family's 1533-position model. The record is from RNAcentral.